CUGUGUGCCCCUGUGGUAUUGGGGAUGUAGUCAGGAUGACCAAAGAAAGAGUAUUGCCUCAUCUGCUUGCAACAAGCCCAGGGCACCUGGCAUGGGACGGAUAUGGGCAUAGGAGAGAGCAUGUGAAUCACCCUGGACAUGCAGCUAACAUUCCCAGCUAAUCAGAUAACGCUCUGUAUGGUGCUGUGUUCACCAGUAACUUGUAAUGCGCAAUAGUGGCAAAAAAGUCAUCUGUCCACAAUCAAGAAAUCAGGAAUGGAGAGCCGUUUAGAUGACAAUUUGUGAUUUUUUUUUUUAGAUGAAUGUGAAUCCAUCAAGUAUAAGGGGAUUUUUGCCCAUUACCUUCAGUGAGAACAUAUUUUUUGUUAUGCUUUUGACCUGCCCAUAUCAUAAUUGCAGUAGUCUUUGUUAUUUAGUUAUGAAACUCUUCUCCAUCUAAUCUAAAUAUAAUGUAUGCAGUUUCAGAGGUUUCUUAAACUGCAAACUCCUACUCAGCUGUUUUUCUGACUGGCAAUUAUGGCUCUACUGUGUCUUUAUAUUUGCACCUACCUUGUUUUUUUCCUGUCAUUUUUACUGUCAUUGGUUAUAUAUGUACCUUUCCCAUGAUGAACUGCUGUUCAGAUCACUGUGGGUCUGAGUGUAUGCAAGAUCAAGACACUCAGCAACUCCUAGUUUCCACAGGCACUCAGCUCACUGGAAACGAUCAGUACUUUUUCAACAGACUGCCUAAGCAGUGUAAAAAAAUACACCAAGGAUAAUAACUAGGCAAAUAUAUUUUAAGCAGCAAAUGUAAAUGGGAAGAGAAGUUUCAGUUCAGAAAUUAUGCAGAUGCAGCUAUAACCAAUUUCUUUAAUCUACUGACAAGUGUUUAAUUUUUCAAUUGUCAGGUAGGAAUUGGAAACAAUUCAACUGUUUUAGUAAAUAACUUUUUCUUGCUGUUUUCUAAUGUGGUAUAUUCUUCUAGAUUUUCAAGAAGAUCCUAAUUCUUCAGGUUCAUCUUACGUUCAUGCAAGUAAUUUCAGAAGACACAUUCAGUAGCUAACACCCAUCUCUUGCAGUUGUGCACUACACAACAUUUAUAAUUAAGCCUCUUAGGAAGUUAGCUGCAUGGCCCAUGAUUAACUUCCCUUAAUUCUUUAUUGUUAAAGCUCAGUGCAGAGACCUCUGGAGUAAUCACCCCUCCUUUCCAUCCUGAGCUGCGGAACGGCAACGUGGUGUGUAAGUCAGCAUGCACUACAAUGUCAUCCCAGCAUGGAAGGACUGGGAGGGGAAGAUCAUGUCCAGUGAAUAGAAAUGGAUUCUUGGAUUUUGGCUCUUGAGGUGGCCUUGACUGAACGAAUCUACAGAACAAUUAUGGUACAUAACAGCUGAUUGCUUCUCUGUGCGGCAGUAGAUUAUGAAAUAAGACAAAAUGAGCCUUCAGUA
This is a long non-coding RNA of Pezoporus flaviventris, 1425 nucleotides long. RefSeq lists it as uncharacterized. Lineage: Eukaryota; Metazoa; Chordata; Aves; Psittaciformes; Psittacidae. The record is from RefSeq and is a predicted model, not a curated record. The transcript has 2 exons.